GAACCUCAGACAGAGGAACAUCGCCAGAUUUAUGCUUCUCAAGUACUCAUUCAUUUUUCUGUCUCUAAUAAAACUUAUGCCUUAUCUGGACCUCUAGCAAAUUUAGACACUGAUACCAGCAAGCUUAGAGAGUUUUUUCUAUCUUACCAUAAAUACAAACCCAUAGGAAAAGCUAAAAACCCUAGGACUUCUUCUUCCGAAAACACCCCGGCUGAAAACGUUAUAGAUUUGAGGUUUAUGAACAAUGGUUUUAGAGCCUUUCAUGC
This 266-nucleotide long non-coding RNA is filed under the name Lathyrus oleraceus (garden pea). RNAcentral's name for it is "Pisum sativum (pea) long non-coding RNA (PSAT_LNC022658)". Lineage: Eukaryota; Viridiplantae; Streptophyta; Magnoliopsida; Fabales; Fabaceae. The record is from RNAcentral.